UCCCCUAGUAACGGCGAGUGAAGCGGGAAGAGCACAAAUUUAAAAUCUACCUGGUUUYCAGGUCGAGUUGUAAUUUGAAGAUACGUUUUUGACGUUCCGGGUUGGACUAAAUCCUUUGGGAUAAGGUAUCAUGGAGGGUGAGAAUCCCGUAUAUACCAACCAUAGGGAUGUUAUUUAAUACGUUUCUAAGAGUCGAGUUGUUUGGGAAUGCAGCUCUAAAUGGGUGGUAAAUUUCACCUAAUGCUAAAUAUAAGCGAGAGACCGAUAGCGAACAAGUACAGUGAUGGAAAGAUGAAAAGAACUUUGAAAAGAGAGUUAAAUAGUACGUGAAAUUGUUGAAAGGGAAACGAUUGAAGUCAGUCAUGCCCGUGGGAAUCAACUUAGRGGAAACUCUAAGUGCACUUCUUCGCUUGGCAGGUCAACGUCGAUUUUGGAUGUCAUAAAAUGAUUGGGGGAAGGUAGCUCCUUNGGGAGUGUUAUAGCCCUUGGUAGAUGUGAUGUCUGGGAUCGAGGAUUGCAAYGGAUACCCUUUGGGGCUAGCCGUCUGAUCUCUAAUUGGUAUUGGRUUACGGAUAGCAUGCUGACCGUGAUCUAAUUAUUGGUUAAAAGGUUAGAGCNNGCAUAAAUUCCUUAAGGACNUUGACCUAAUGGCUUU
This 655-nucleotide ribosomal RNA is filed under the name Gigaspora rosea. RNAcentral's name for it is "eukaryotic LSU rRNA". It matches the Rfam family "Eukaryotic large subunit ribosomal RNA", at positions 76 to 641 of the family's 3401-position model. The record is from RNAcentral. Lineage: Eukaryota; Fungi; Glomeromycota; Glomeromycetes; Diversisporales; Gigasporaceae.